UGGGGAAUAUUGGACAAUGGGCGCAAGCCUGAUCCAGCCAUGCCGCGUGAGUGAAGAAGGCCUUCGGGUUGUAAAGCUCUUUUGUCAGGGAAGAAACGGUAGUAGCGAAUAACUAUUACUAAUGACGGUACCUGAAGAAUAAGCACCGGCUAACUACGUGCCAGCAGCCGCGGUAAUACGUAGGGUGCAAGCGUUAAUCGGAAUUACUGGGCGUAAAGCGUGCGCAGGCGGUUGUGUAAGUCAGAUGUGAAAUCCCCGGGCUCAACCUGGGAAUUGCAUUUGAGACUGCACGGCUAGAGUGUGUCAGAGGGGGGUAGAAUUCCACGUGUAGCAGUGAAAUGCGUAGAUAUGUGGAGGAAUACCGAUGGCGAAGGCAGCCCCCUGGGAUAACACUGACGCUCAUGCACGAAAGCGUGGGGAGCAAACAGGAUUAGAUACCCCCGUAGUCCCUGAGCGGGCUGGCAAGGCGCAU
RNAcentral lists this ribosomal RNA (472 nucleotides) under uncultured bacterium. RNAcentral describes it as "bacterial SSU rRNA". It matches the Rfam family "Bacterial small subunit ribosomal RNA", at positions 355 to 825 of the family's 1533-position model. The record is from RNAcentral.